This 377-nucleotide ribosomal RNA is filed under the name uncultured bacterium. RNAcentral's name for it is "bacterial SSU rRNA". It matches the Rfam family "Bacterial small subunit ribosomal RNA", at positions 523 to 898 of the family's 1533-position model. The record is from RNAcentral.
AUACGUAGGUGGCGAGCGUUGUCCGGAAUUACUGGGCGUAAAGGGCGCGUAGGCGGUUUUUUAAGUCAGAUGUGAAAACCCAGGGCUUAACUCUGGGAUUGCAUUUGAAACUGGAAGGCUUGAGUGCAGGAGAGGUAAGUGGAAUUCCUAGUGUAGCGGUGAAAUGCGUAGAUAUUAGGAGGAACACCAGUGGCGAAGGCGACUUACUGGACUGUAACUGACGCUGAGGCGCGAAAGCGUGGGGAGCAAACAGGAUUAGAUACCCUGGUAGUCCACGCCGUAAACGAUGGAUACUAGGUGUGGGAGGUAUCGACCCCUUCCGUGCCGCAGUAAACGCAAUAAGUAUCCCGCCUGGGGAGUACGGCCGCAAGGUUGAA